AUAACAGCUGGAAACGGCUGCUAAUACCGCAUAAGCGCACAGAGCUGCAUGGCUCGGUGUGAAAAACUCCGGUGGUAUGGGAUGGGCCCGCGUCUGAUUAGGCAGUUGGCGGGGUAACGGCCCACCAAACCGACGAUCAGUAGCCGGCCUGAGAGGGCGACCGGCCACAUUGGGACUGAGACACGGCCCAAACUCCUACGGGAGGCAGCAGUGGGGAAUAUUGCACAAUGGGGGAAACCCUGAUGCAGCGACGCCGCGUGAGCGAAGAAGUAUUUCGGUAUGUAAAGCUCUAUCAGCAGGGAAGAUAAUGACGGUACCUGACUAAGAAGCCCCGGCUAACUACGUGCCAGCAGCCGCGGUAAUACGUAGGGGGCAAGCGUUAUCCGGAUUUACUGGGUGUAAAGGGAGCGUAGACGGCAAGGCAAGUCUGAUGUGAAAACCUAGGGCUUAACCCUGGGACUGCAUUGGAAACUGUCUGGCUCGAGUGCCGGAGAGGUAAGCGGAAUUCCUAGUGUAGCGGUGAAAUGCGUAGAUAUUAGGAAGAACACCAGUGGCGAAGGCGGCUUACUGGACGGUAACUGACGUUGAGGCUCGAAAGCGUGGGGAGCAAACAGGAUUAGAUACCCUGGUAGUCCACGCCGU
Molecule: ribosomal RNA, 642 nt
Filed under: uncultured bacterium
Lineage: Bacteria
Description: bacterial SSU rRNA
Rfam family: Bacterial small subunit ribosomal RNA
Source: RNAcentral